Long non-coding RNA from Tupaia belangeri chinensis (Chinese tree shrew), 816 nucleotides. RefSeq lists it as uncharacterized. The transcript has 6 exons. NCBI's taxonomy places the organism in Eukaryota, Metazoa, Chordata, Mammalia, Scandentia, Tupaiidae. The record is from RefSeq and is a predicted model, not a curated record.
CUCCAGUGUCACACUAAGCAAGAGAGAAAUGGUGUGUGAGGGGCUGAUGGUGAAGGUGGAAUCCUCAUUUUACAGUCUUUAAACAACUUGAGGGGGAAUCACUCAACUGGUAUGUGGCCUAGCCAGAAUUUGAAGGUGAGAAAUAUGGAAUCAGAUGGAAGGGGACAAAAGCAAUCAAGUUAGACAGUGGUUGCCUAUUCCUGGGGAAACCAGCUGCCAUAUCAUGGGGACAGUCAAGCAGCCUUCGGAGAGGCAGCACAGGAGGAACUAAGGCUCUCUGCCAAUAACCAGCACCAACAUGCCUGCCAUGCGAGUGAGCCAUCUGGAAAACAGAUCCACCAGCUUCAGUCAAGCCUGCAGUGAGUGGACGUGCCCUAUAGCAAACUUGGGAAAAAAAAAAAGAAGAACAUCAUUCAGAGAACAUAAAAGAAGGCUCUUGAAAAUUAAAAAUAUGGUAUUUAAAAUGAAAAAUUCAGAAGAAGAGUUGGCAAAUAAAAGUGAGAAAAAAUAAAAAAAGAAAGAAAGAAACCUCCUGGAUAGCAAAACAAAUGACAAAGAUAUAAAAGGGGUGGUUUGAAGGCAGAAGAGGAACAACGAAGGUUUGGAGUGGACCGCCACACUUCAGGUGCAUGCAUGAGGACACCUGGGUUUGAACAGCAAGGGCUGAGAGGCACUAACUCCUGGUACCUGUAAACUGCAGACAGCACCUUGAGGAAGCAACAAAGCACAUGAAGGGAUUUCCAUGUUCUCCUGGGCAACUGGCUCUGUCUAUUCCACAAGCCAGGGUGAUGGGAAUGAAAGAAUAAAAGAAAACAU